UUGACAUUGAAAUCUAUGAAAAAUAGGGAGUAUGUGUUCAUUUGAAAAUACAACAGCUACCAUUUUGUUUCAGGAUAGCAAACUUAACCAGAAAUUUAUACCAUCUUGUAUCUUGGUCAUGCUAGUAAUGUAUAAAAUUUGAUCAAUAUCAACAAUUCUUAGGUCGUGGAACAAAUUGAAAAUUCCAGCCUAUUUUCUCUCUAGAUGUUGUGUGACAUCAGUCUUCCAGUGCACUGAUUCUUUCCUCUGUGUCUUUGAUCCUCCAGUUGACUCCAUCCAUUGUUCAGUUGAAGAUCUAACUGGUUCUUGGUGUGAUGAAUGAUAUUUACUAGAAACCUGGACAUUUUGGGCACCAUGUUAUGAGACUCUGGUGCCUACAUCAGCCUUCUGUUUUAACAGGCCUCCUCUGAAGUGUCAAAGCAGGCCUGUUCCAGCAGACAGAGGUAGGGCCCCUCCUUGAUCACCUCAGAUGGAUACAACUCUAGGUUCUUCAUUGUACUUUCCUGAUGUGGAUAUUGCUAGGGCCACAGUUUUUUCUGUGCUAUUUGGCUGGAGUAGAAGGUUAUUGUCUAAACAUUUUCUAUCUUGCUAGGCUGCCUUUUUUUCUUAUCCUUUGACCUUUGACUAGAGAGAGCCAGCUUUUUUUUUUUUUUUUUUUUUUUGAGAGCCAGCUUUUAUUGGGACUUAUUUCUUUCUCUUAUUUUUGUCUGCACCUUUUGGCGUUCCCAAUUGCCACAUUCUUCAGCUCCAGGUUUGAGAUGUAUGAGGUAAAAAGAAAAUCCGGAGAAGCCACCACUGUAUUGUUCCUUGGGUCCCAAGGUCCCUGGCCACUGUUUUGUCAUCUCUCCAUCUUUCAGAAAUUUCUUAUGAUUGUUUUAUACAUAAUCUCUCAAGUUUUUAAUUGUUCUUAAUGAGACAAAGAGGGAAAAGAAAAGUACAUCUUAUGGGAAGCAGCAAUUAUUAUUUUCUUAUUUGCCAAACUACAUCUUUAGUCAGGGGAGGUAAGAUCAGUAGAGAAAAUGAGUGUUCUUUCUACGUAAUUGCUUUCUUCCCACUUAUAGCACAAUGAUCAGAUAUGCUGGAAAAAUCAUCAAGGUGUGGAAAUCAUUUUGACAUAAAUUUUCCUUUUUCAGGAACUCAAACCAAAUAGUGUAUAAUUUCAUUUAAAUCAGAAGUUGUGUGCAGCUCCUGAUUUUGCCCAUGAUCAGAUUAAAAGUCAUUGCUUUAGAGAUACAACUUAGUCACUUUAUAAAUGAGAUCUAAAGAGCAGCAAGCUUGAAAGUGGAAGUAACAUCUACUGUAGUCCCAAAGGGAAAGUAAUUGACUCUCAAUUCAGUUUUUCCUCCCAUUGUACUAUUUGCUUCUCAUAACUGUUUACUUCUACAGUUUCUUUUGUUGGGAUUUUUAAGAAAACUAUAUAAAUCAGCAAGGAAUCAUUUUAUUACAAAUAACAAAACCAUCCUUUUGUGGUUUAAAUAGAGAUGUAUCUGUAUCAUACAACCAAAUCCUUUACCUCUUAGAAAAAAGAGGGAAUAAAUGAAUAAAUACACAAACCCCAUGUAGUUAUACCUCCUACACACACACACACACACACACACACACACACACGAUCAACUGUCAAUGCUGAGAGAUUGAGUAAGAUGAGGACUGAGAAUCAACCUUUGCAGUUGAAUGUGGAAGUGUACUGUCUUUGGCUAAGGCCAUUUCAGUGGAGUUCUGGGAACAUCCUAAUGUGAAUAGUCCCAACAGAAUGAUUUGUGAUGAGAGUGUAAACUAGCAAGUAUAGAUGACUCUUGAGGUGUUUUGCUAUAAAGUCGGGCAGAGAACUGGUAGAAGAGCUGAAGGAGGGUGUGGGGCAUUUUUGUGUGCUUAAGAUUUAAGCUAUUACAGCAUGUUAUUUAUUUCAGAGAGACAGAGCAUGCAGUGGGGAGAGGGACAAAGGGAGAGGAAGAAAGAAUCUCAAGCGGACUCCUUUCUCAGUGCAGAGUGAGUCACAGCACUUGAUCUUAUAACCCUGACAUCAUGACCUGAGCCAAAAUCAAGAGUUGGAUAUUCAGCUGACUGAGCCACCCAGGCACCCGUAAAGAAUGUUUGUAAGCUGAGAGGAUUGAUUUAUGUUAAGACUAAAAAAAAAAAAAAAAAAAAUUGAUGAUACAAGGA
Molecule: long non-coding RNA, 2160 nt
Organism: Canis lupus familiaris (dog)
Lineage: Eukaryota; Metazoa; Chordata; Mammalia; Carnivora; Canidae
Exons: 3
Source: RefSeq, a predicted model, not a curated record